This 253-nucleotide ribosomal RNA is filed under the name uncultured prokaryote. RNAcentral describes it as "partial 16S ribosomal RNA". It matches the Rfam family "Bacterial small subunit ribosomal RNA", at positions 525 to 777 of the family's 1533-position model. The record is from RNAcentral.
ACGGAGGGGGCUAGCGUUGUUCGGAAUUACUGGGCGUAAAGCGCACGUAGGCGGCUUUGUAAGUUAGAGGUGAAAGCCCGGGGCUCAACUCCGGAAUCGCCUUUAAGACUGCAUCGCUAGAAUUGUGGAGAGGUAAGUGGAAUUCCGAGUGUAGAGGUGAAAUUCGUUGAUAUCGUGGGGAACACCAAAGGCGAAGGCAGCGCACUGGUCCAAAUCUGACGCUCACACACGAAAGCCAGGGUAGCGAAUGGGA